RNAcentral lists this ribosomal RNA (426 nucleotides) under uncultured bacterium. Its description in RNAcentral is "bacterial SSU rRNA". It matches the Rfam family "Bacterial small subunit ribosomal RNA", at positions 8 to 448 of the family's 1533-position model. The record is from RNAcentral.
AGAGUUUGAUCCUGGCUCAGAAUCAACGCUGGCGGCGCGCCUAACACAUGCAAGUCGAACGAGAAAGUGGAGCAAUCCAUGAGUAAAGUGGCGUACGGGUGAGUAACACGUGGAUAAUCUGCCCUUUAGUGGGGAAUACCGCUGGGAAACCGGCGACAAUACCGCAUAAGCUCGAGAGAGGAAAGCAGCAAUGCGCUGAAGGAGGAGUCCGCGGUCGAUUAGUUAGUUGGCGGGGUAAAGGCCCACCAAGACUGUGAUCGAUAGCCGGCCUGAGAGGGCACACGGCCACACUGGCACUGAAACACGGGCCAGACUCCUACGGGAGGCAGCAGUGGGGAAUCUUGCACAAUGGGGGAAACCCUGAUGCAGCGACGCCGCGUGAGCGAUGAAGCCCCUCGGGGUGUAAAGCUCUUUCGGCAGGGAAGA